Alexandromys fortis (reed vole) is the source of this 2782-nucleotide long non-coding RNA. RefSeq lists it as uncharacterized. Lineage: Eukaryota; Metazoa; Chordata; Mammalia; Rodentia; Cricetidae. The transcript has 3 exons. The record is from RefSeq and is a predicted model, not a curated record.
GAGGUGAGUGGACCGCCGCCGAGGCCGAGCGAAGCUGACGCUGCACCGCAGCCAGGAGGCCGAGGAGCAGGGGGCGUCCACGAGAUUGCCGGCCGGGUUCUCGCGAGAUCGUCCCCCGCGAGGCUCCGCCCUCAAUUAAGAUAGGGUCUCAGUACCUCACAUUGUCCUGGAAGUUACUGUGUUGUCUGGGCUUCGCUCCCACCUCUACCAAUCCUCUGGCCUCAGCAUCUAGUAUGUUUCCACUGUUGUGCAACCAUCCACUGAGCCCGUCGUGUGACAGAGCUCACGUGGAGGGGGGAAAAGAGAGGAGGCUGGCGGAAGCCCUUUCUGAGGGGACUUUGCUGAUGACUGUCAGGACCCAGCAGAGACCAGAGGAUAGAAUAAUAUUCUAUCGCAGUGGACGUCCUGCUGGGGCUUGUUCAUUUGUCUCGGGUCAUGCUCUGGUGUUUGGGAGUGAACAAAUAAAUGCCUCAUUGAGCCCCUGCUCUUGCCUCUUCUGAGCAGCCACAUGGAAAUCAGGGUUGCAGGUUUGCUUCUGUUUGUUGAUUUAGGUAUGUGUCACACAGCCUUCUCUGAAGCUCCACCAUGCCGCCUUGCAGACACACUACCUCCUAGCCACACCCCAGCUCCAUGCACUUUCAUGUUUUUGAGAAUCAAUUCAAGACUUUUUUGUUUUUCUUGGUUUUUCAAGACAGGGUUUGUCUAUGUAGCCCAGGCUGUCCUGGAACUUGCUCGGUAGGCCAGGGUGGCCUUGAAUUUACAGAGGUCCUCCAGUCUCUGCCUCUCGAGUGCCACCAUGCCAUUGUUAAACCAAAGGCUCCAGGCGUGGUGACACACAGGCCUGGGAAGAUCGCAGUGAGCUCCAUGCCGGAUGGGAAGGGCUAUGCAGUCAGGCUGUCUCUAAAUAGAUAAAGAAGUAAAUCCAACAGAGCUCAGUCACAGAUUAUAGAGAAGUCACCUGUCCCCCAACCCUCAGGAGGCUGAGGAAGAAGGGGCUAGCCUGGGGUACAUACUGAGACUGUUUCAGAAAUCAAUCAAGGGUUGGGGUCUAACCUAGACGAGCUCAGCCCAUGAGACCCCACCCCAACACACUCAGUUAUUGUUUUAUAAAUUUGUCAAGUCGUUCACAGGCCCAGGUGCUGCGGAGGAAAGUACUGCGCUCAGAGUGACGUCGCCACAGGGGCCCCUCAGGAAGUCCUCCUCCUCCACCAGCUCCACCUGGAGCAGGUCUGGGACCCGGUUCCUGUUUCCCUCUGUCUCAGGGAGCAAACUUGGGUCCUCUACCUGCUGAGCCCUCCUGCUGACUCGCAGGCUCAUCUCCAGCUGCCUCCUCCCUGGUAGCCGAACACGGGUGCACUUCCAGGCAGGGAUUGCAGGCUGCGCGACAGGAGCGUGUCUUCCCGCAGCUCCAGCUGAACUUCAGCUCCAUGGACUCUCUUAUUGACUGUAAUGGACUGUAAUAAAUGCAGCCUCUGGAAGGUGUAAUUUCGGGAACUUUUAAGGCAGUGCACAGUGCACACCCAUGGAGCCAUUCCGCCCCAAGCUGGAUGUGUCUUGUCUCUUGGGCUGUUCCUCUUCUGCCCAUGGUGGGCAGUGGUGCAAUGCUCAGGGAUUAUCACUGCACUUGCACUAAGGAAGGACCCUGAAGGGCAGAAGUAGGAACUUAACAAGUUCAAAGGCCUCUAGGUUACAAAGACAGACACUGUCACAGCAAAGAGCGGUCAGGUGUGGUGGCCCAUGCCUUAAGUCCCAGCACUUAGGAGGCAGGGGCUGACAGAGCUCCAAGAAUUCAAGGCCAGCCUGCUCUACUGUAGUCAGUUGCAGACCAGCUGGGGCUACGCUGUGCCCUGUGCCCAAACAACAAAAGUAUACCUGGCGGCCGGGGCGUGGUCAGGGAAGUCCCACCUAGAAUCCCCAGUAAGGGGCUAGGGGCGUGGUCAGAAUGGAGCCCCACCCUGGAUCUUCCCAGUGAGGGGGCUGAGGGCGUGGUCAGGAUGGAGCCCCACCUAGAAUACCCCCAGUGAGGGCUGGGGGCGUGGUCAGGGGUGGAGCUCUAGAAAACCCUGGGCUUAAUGCCUGGUACUAAAUAAUAACAAAAACUGAACUGCUGUUAUGCCUUUGAAGAUCACUGGUCCUUGCUGUGGACCUCUGCCCAGGCUCCUGUUACCGUGUUUUGUGCCUCUGACUAGUCUAAGGGAGAACGGGAUGUCAGAGGUGUGUCUACCUCUAUCCAGCUCAGUGGACACGGUGGAUAUGGGAAAGGUGUGUGCACUGGGCACUCCUGUGUGCUGUGUGCUGCCCCUCCCCCGUUUUCUAGCCCUUCAGCCCUCCACAGGUUUAUGACUGAGGGCGCAGGGCGCCUCACACCUCGCUGUUGCCUGCCUCACCUCUGAUCUUUCCCAGCCCGUAUCUGACUUAUCACCAGCCCCAAUAACAUCCUCCGGGCACCUUGUUCCAGACAGUCCGAGGAAUAACUACGUACUGGCUUUCCUGAUAGUGCUAACUCAAGGUGACCCUUGUCUUGCUGAGCAGAAGUGGAACGACUCACCUGUGUGGUGGCUGAGGUUGCUGGAAAACCGUCUUCUCCCUUAUGGACACUCAAGGACCCUGCUGGGCAGUGAUUAACGCCCCAGCUAAAUCCAUUCCUGCACAUAAACAGAAGAAUCAAGGUUUCACGGUUUGCUUGUGUUGUUUUACUUUGAGGCAGGAUGUCUCUGUGCAGCCUGUCUUUCCUGGAACUCACAGAGCCACCUGCUCCUGCCUCCAGAGUGAUGGAAUUAAA